Molecule: ribosomal RNA, 388 nt
Filed under: uncultured bacterium
Lineage: Bacteria
Description: bacterial SSU rRNA
Rfam family: Bacterial small subunit ribosomal RNA
Source: RNAcentral
UCGGGAAUUUUGGGCAAUGGGGGAAACCCUGACCCAGCAACGCCGCGUGAAGGAUGAAGUAUUUCGGUAUGUAAACUUCGAAAGAAUAGGAAGAAUAAAUGACGGUACUAUUUAUAAGGUCCGGCUAACUACGUGCCAGCAGCCGCGGUAAUACGUAGGGACCAAGCGUUGUUCGGAUUUACUGGGCGUAAAGGGCGCGUAGGCGGCAUGACAAGUCACUUGUGAAAUCUCUGGGCUUAACCCAGAACGGCCAAGUGAUACUGUCGCGCUAGAGUGCAGAAGGGGCAAUCGGAAUUCUUGGUGUAGCGGUGAAAUGCGUAGAUAUCAAGAGGAACACCUGAGGUGAAGACGGGUUGCUGGGCUGACACUGACGCUGAGGCGCGAAAGC